GAUCAUGGCUCAGGACGAACGCUGGCGGGGCGCCUAACACAUGCAAGUCGAACGAGGAGAGAAGGAGCUUGCUUCUUCGAUCGAGUGGCGAACGGGUGAGUAACGCGUGAGGAACCUGCCUCAAAGAGGGGACAACAGUUGGAAACGACUGCUAAUACCGCAUAAGCCCACGGGUCGGCAUCGAUCUGAGGGAAAAGGAGCAAUCCGCUUUGAGAUGGCCUCGCGUCCGAUUAG
Molecule: ribosomal RNA, 234 nt
Filed under: uncultured bacterium
Lineage: Bacteria
Description: partial 16S ribosomal RNA
Rfam family: Bacterial small subunit ribosomal RNA
Source: RNAcentral